CAAUAAACAAUAUUAAUACAAAAAAAUACUCUCAGCUACUUCAUCUUCUUCCUUGUGAUUCCUCCAUUAAUCCAUACAGUUGCAGGUUGAGAUAGGGUAUUGGAUUCUGGCUCCUAUCAAGGACGAGUGCGAUGACUAUCGGCCAUUACAGCUUUGCAGGUACGAUUUCUCCUUUUUCCUCUGCAUUUUAAUGUUCCCUCCUCGCAAUCCAUCGAAUCCUUUUCUUCCAAUUUUGUUCCACUCGUUCAAUUUUUCAAUGGUUUCUUUCUAGGGCGAUUUUUUUAUAUAUUUUCUUUAUUUGGUCUGAGUCUCGGUCUCACCGUCUCAAAUCCUCACCUGUAUUCGUACGACGAGACGCAGUGUUCAUGGGGAGACCUCGUCGCACGCGGCCAGCGAGGAUUUCUAUGGUUUGAUUUCUACAACUCGAAUUAUUUUCCGUGAUUGACUUUUAGGGUUUGUGAAAAUUGGGUUUCCGCAAUUUUGAUUGUUCUAAAACUGGAUUUGUCAAUUUGAAUAACUUGAAUUUCUGAGCAUGCAUGUCAUUGAUGUCAAUUAAUCUUGUCGGCGGAGGAAAGAAGCAACCUUAUAUGUAUGAACCUCUCUGUGAAAUGUCUCUAUGAAAGGAGGGAACACCCCUUGCUUCGAAGUUGAUCUAUUUCCCGAAGCGUACCGAAAAUUAGAAUCCCAAAUUCGGGAAUACCAAAAUUUCGGUUCGAUUUCAGUUUUUGAAAUCCCGUCUCGAAAGGGAUCGGUUCGGGAUCCCAACCUGAACCACCCUCACUACCACCAUAGCCAAUGCCACCCCUAUAAUUAGCAGCCCCGCCAGAAUCAUCCAUCAUCCAUAUUUCGAAUGAUUACUCGGGACAAUGAGCGAUACCACCAUAGCCAUAUAGGCCAAUGGAUUUUUUCCACAUUGUAAGACACAUGUCAAGGUAAUCUUUGUAGGUGAUCUCAUGUGGUAUAAAUACAUCACGACUCAUGUCAAACGAAAUGAUUGCUAACCUAAUCUUUCCUUCAUCAUCAUAACGAGUGUUAUCGCAAGAUAUGAACUCCUUUUGUUGCUCGCUUCCUAACCAAAGAAAGUGGUAUCUGUUUCUAAAGAAUAGGUCUUGAUCUCUCUCCAACAAUCUGUUUCCAAGGUGUACACUUGUACUCAGAGAGGAUUAACAAUCAGAUGUUCUUUCUCGCCGUACAAUUUGAACCAGAAAAUGCAAUGCUAACAACUUUGUAACAUUUAGAUAAGGGAUCAUAGACAAAUCCUAGAGGAAUUAUGAGCCGCCCUGUUGCUGGAAGGUAGGGAGCUUCCACCGUGAGGGAUCCAAAUGGUGGGCUAGGCCAAUUAUUCUGAAGGAGUGGGGGAAGAAGCCUGAACUCCUGAAUUGCCGGACUCCACAAAAACACCAUAGUAGAAUUAGAUAGGUCUAGACAAAUGAUCCCAUUGACCUAUAAUACCAAUUGAUUCGUCCCCGACCUCUAGAUUCAUAGAAAGAGGAACAUGGAUGUCCUCACCUUCAGAAAUAAAGCUAUAAGUCACCAUAGUUGGUGUUGUCUGAGUCUCCAACAACAUCAUUAUUGUUGUCAAAAUUUAGCAUUGAGAAUAUGGAUUGAAUUUCAUUACCAUUACCCUUGGCCUUGGGGUCCUCCGACUCCUUAGUAGGGACUAGCAUUUGCUUCAAAAGGGCACGAGUGAAUUGAUUGAUUUGCAAGGAAUAGGAAUUAGAGAGGUGCUUGUCAACGAAGCUGGGGUCAUUGAUGAAAGCAUACCACCAUUUAGUGACACACUUGAAUUGCAUCAGAGAUUUCAGGAGUAGGGUUGAAAGAAUUUUCACCAACAAAUCUUGUCCAAUUUUUCUUUUGCAAGACUUGUUUGUCAUGAUUUGUGCAAUGUCAAGUGUCAUGUUUCUCACUUAACAUGCUCCAAGCAAUAUUAUUUUAGUGCUGACAAAGAGGGCUCAGCCCAACCGUCUUAUACUUUGCUCAAUCCCAUAUGAUUAAACCACUUGCAUUUGCAGAUGAGAUAAUGCAGCUUUCAGUAAAACGUUGAGUCUGGUAAAAGUUUCAGGCUGUCAUGCUCAGAGGUUUUAUAAUUGAAAGCAACAUUGCCAACAAAAUCUGAUAAAAAGUUAAAAUCACUUAACGUUCUAAAAAUAUGCAUUAUCACAUUUAAGCAUUGGAUUAAAGUAACAAAUCCCUGACUUCAAUUCAGAGUACAUUCACUAAAUAUUAACAUACAAAUUGAAGUUCACAAUCUACAGGAAGAACUCAUCUAAUCCAUAUGCAAGGGAGAACAGGUUGGGGGGCAGCCAAAAACAUAAAAGCACCCGAAAAGACAUGGGAUUGAACAAAGAAAAAAACAAGAUCAUGCACAUACCCUAUCCCCAACUUACCAACUAACAAACCGAAUUAGACAAAGAAAAUGACAAGAUCAUACACAUACCUACACCUAACUUACAAACCAUUUAACCACCUUAUCCUUGUCUUUAAAAAAACACCUUCUUCUGAAUCUCUAUGAUAACCAAGACAAACAAAAUGCAUUGCUUCUUUAAGGUUUUUUUUGUUUAACAAUAUAGUUGUUCUUAAUGAAGCAACAACUCCUCAUGAAUUUUUUCCGUAUGUACAACAAUCGUCGUUUGUAUUCUGCAAAUUUAAAUUCAAUCUGGAUGUGGAAACCAAUUUGAACGUGCAACUUUCAUCACGUAUGGUUUUUGACCGAGUAGCGAACCCUUUUGCAACGCUCUUGUGCUCUCGCGUAGCUUUCAACCCUUAUGAGGUACAUAAUAACAAAAAAAUAAAAGUUAAAAUUAAAAAUUAAGUUUUGUCUCUUCUUCCUUCACCCUCGCUCUUUUUAUCUUGCUCCUUUUAGUUCCAUAUACAGUGAGUGCUUCUUUCAUCUUCCAUGAUUCCAUUUGGGCCCCACUUUUCUUUCCCAAUCACCGAAUCCCUGUUUCUCUACAACACCAACGACAAACAUGUGUAGGUAUACAGUUGGAUGAAAUCUCUUGGGUGAGUCCUCCCUUGGCAUUUCUUUCUUCACAUAUAUACUUAUAUCUUUGUUUGUCUUUUCUUUUUGUUCUUUUAUUGUACCUUUUUCUUUUUUCCUGCAACUUUCUAAUGUGAUUUCUCGUCUUAGUUCACUCAAAAUCAUGAGAUGUAAACAAACUUGUCAAUAUAUUGGUCAAACCCGAAUACAAGUAGCACGAAUAUGUUUUUUUGUCAAACAAAAUAUAAUAAGCCUGGAUUAUGCUCCGAGGACACAUUUUCCCCAACACAGUACUUUGAAUAUGCUCAUAGCUUAUGGUCUGGUUAUGAUGUAGAUAUAUUUUUUUUCGAGCCAUGGUUCUACCAGGCUCCCGAUAUCAGUUUAGCCAAUUUGAACAAGCCAUUCGUAGAUCAAUAACUUGAAAGACACCUACUCUAUAUUGCCGAAUGGACAACCACCAUUUAUUUCUACAGGAAGUUAUUAUUUGACCACUAUGCAACUGAUUACUAUCCAUUUGGCAACGCAGAGUUGGUGUUUGUCCAUUUAUUGAUUUGCUAAUGACUUGUUCAAGUUAGCUAAAGUGAUAUUAGAAGCCUGGCACCGUAUAUCUGCAUUAUAGUCAAACCAUAAGCUAUGUGCAUGUUGAGAAUAGUGUGUGUGAGAAAAUAUGUCAUCGGAACAUAAUGCGUGCUUGUUAUAUCCUACUUGCUAGAAAUACAUAUAUGUGCUCCUCACAUUCAGGUUUGGCCAAAAUAUUGACAAAUUUCUUUCAGUUCAUUAUUUUGACUCAUCUGAAACGAUAAAUCACAUUAAAAUGUUGCUGAAAAAAAAAGAACAAUAAAAUGACAAAAGACAAACAAGACUAAAAUCAUAUAUAUGUAUAUAUAUAUGUAUAUAUGUAUGUAUGUAUGUAUGUAUGUAUAUAGAUGUGUGUGUGGAGAGAAAUGCCAAGAAGGACUUGCCCCAAAGCGGUUUUAUCCAAACUCUGUACCUACGAGUGAUGAGAGAAAGAAAAGUGUAGCCCAAAUACAUGGUAGAGAAACAAACACUCACUAUAUACGAAACUACAAAAUAGCAAGGGGAGGGAAGAAUAGAUAAAAUUUAAUUUUUAAUUUCAACUUUUGUUUUAUGUUACCUAUAAGGCUAUAAGUGCUGAAAACUAGGCUAGUGCAUAUUAGCGUUGCGAAGGGGUUGGUUGUGUUACUCGGCCAAAGACCAUGUGUGGUGGAAGUAGCAGCCUCAAAUUGGUGUCCGCAAACUCAAGAUUGAAUGUGCAAAAUACAAAUGGUGAUUGUUGUACGUAUUGAAAGAUUUCAUACGGCAUUGGAAAAGCGUGAUGAAGCAAGGCAUUUUGUUUGUCCGAGGAAAUUGGUUAUCAGAGAGAUUCAGAAUAAGUUGUUUUUGUUUUGAGACAAGUAAGAUGCUUAAAUACUGAGCUUUUUAGGUUUAUUGGUAUGUAAGCCGGGUGUGGGUAUGUGCAUGCUAUUUUCAUUUUCUUUGUUUAAUUUGGUUGGUUGAUUUGUAACUUUGGUUGCUAUUUUCAUAUUUUUGGUUGGUUUCAUUUCCUGUAUUUUUGUUUGUUCAAUUCUAUGUUUUUUUGGGGCACUGUUCCGUUAUUGACCGAACUCCUACCUAUUCUCCCUUGCAUAUAAAAAUAUGGAUUAGGUGAGUUCUUUCUGCAAAUUGUCAACUCCAAUUGUAUGUAAAUAUUCCGUGACCACUCUGGAAUUUGUAUGUAAUUUGGGGUAGGUAUGUCCAACUUCUCCCUAAACCCUCCCUAUUCUUGGCCACAUACUUCCCAGCCCAGUUCCAUCUUUGCCCUUCUUCGCCACAUCUUUCAAAUAAUCCUCUGCCACAUACUUCUCAAUUAUCGUCCCCAAAUAUGUCUGCCAGAAGUGUCGCAACUCUCUGGGGCUUUGAAUUGAAGUUUCAAAUGGGUGAGAUUGCAAAAUGUUUUUCCUUGAGGGGAAAAUUUAUAGUUGAAAUGGGUUGGGUUUUGAUUUAGUUAAGCCAAAGUGUUGUUCUCUUGAACUUUUAAAGUUUUGAUUGUGGCUCGAAAACCUUAAUUAUGCUGUUAUAGGCUUUAAGUUUUGCCAUGAAGUGCUAAUUUGUUGAGCAAAUAGUUUGAGUUAGAAAUGGGACUUGUUCCUGUGAAGAGCUAAGUUGACUAAUCGAUCCAAAUAAGCGUAUCAUUUGACUAGAAUCACAUUGCGUGUACUAAAUAUACGAUUUCUUGAGUUGGCUAUUGUUUGUCGACAUUGUUACUUGUUAGUGUUUUUAGGAUUGAUUUACUGUAAUUCUAGUUGGUUUCAAUUUCUAGAAAUCACAGAGAAUGUGAUGAGCUCGUUUCAGAGAGCAGAGAUGAAGAAGGAAGAAGCAAAGUGUGAAACUUCAAGGAGAAAUCUGUGCUGGAUUCUCUUCGAUUCGGUUAUGCUAAACAUACUGGAAGUGUGAGCAAAAAUAGCUGUUGCUAGCUCACACCUCAACUAGUAGGUCAUGGUUAAUGGUUUCUUGAUGGCCCGGUGCAAUAAUGUGUGCGAGACAUGGUUUAUUCGGUUUGUAGUGCUGAAGCAGACAAUCCAAGCCAGUCUGGAAAGGCAAUGGAUGAGUCCUUUGACAAGGAGAUUGAAGAUGUGAAUAGGGACACUAAAGCAUACGAAGCCUGUCUCAAAUGCUUGGAGGGUGAGAGAAGGAAAGUGCUUGGUGAGACUGAUUUUCUCAAUGAAAAACUAAAGGUGCAUAUUUCAAAUAUUGUCUAAUGCAAUAAUCUAUGUGUGAUCUGUCUAUGGAUAGUGAUAAAAGGGUUGUUUUAUUGCCAUUAUGCCUUCAUUCCGAGGAAUGACGCAAAUGACAACUCCAAACGUCACACCUCCGUUGCCUACCUACCAUUUAGGUAGUACUUUUAGAGAUUGUAUGACCAGUAGGAUGCAUUUGUCUGCAUUAAUACAAAAUACAUUUGAGCUCUCAUCCUGCUGUGUGUCUCGGGUUGCCGUAUUCGUGUCUCUGUCUGUGCAACAUAGAUCCUAAACUCCUAUAUUCAAGUGUUAGGUUCGUUUUCUUUGUUUUCUUGCUCAUAAAUGAACCGCUUAUCCUUAUUGAUUA
Molecule: RNA transcript, 6082 nt
Organism: Pyrus x bretschneideri (Chinese white pear)
Lineage: Eukaryota; Viridiplantae; Streptophyta; Magnoliopsida; Rosales; Rosaceae
Exons: 2
Source: RefSeq, a predicted model, not a curated record